This 468-nucleotide ribosomal RNA is filed under the name uncultured bacterium. Its description in RNAcentral is "partial 16S ribosomal RNA". It matches the Rfam family "Bacterial small subunit ribosomal RNA", at positions 28 to 507 of the family's 1533-position model. The record is from RNAcentral.
GAUGAACGCUGGCGGCGUGCUUAACACAUGCAAGUCGAACGGUGAAGGCGGAGCUUGCUCUGCUGGAUCAGUGGCGAACGGGUGAGUAACACGUGAGCAAUCUGCCCCUGACUCUGGGAUAAGCGCUGGAAACGGCGUCUAAUACUGGAUACGAGCUGCGAAGGCAUCUUCAGCAGCUGGAAAGAACUUCGGUCAGGGAUGAGCUCGCGGCCUAUCAGCUUGUUGGUGAGGUAACGGCUCACCAAGGCGUCGACGGGUAGCCGGCCUGAGAGGGUGACCGGCCACACUGGGACUGAGACACGGCCCAGACUCCUACGGGAGGCAGCAGUGGGGAAUAUUGCACAAUGGGCGAAAGCCUGAUGCAGCAGCGCCGCGUGAGGGACGACGGCCUUCGGGUUGUAAACCUCUUUUAGCAGGGAAGAAGCGAAAGUGACGGUACCUGCAGAAAAAGCGCCGGCUAACUACGUG